This is a long non-coding RNA of Epinephelus fuscoguttatus (brown-marbled grouper), 841 nucleotides long. RefSeq lists it as uncharacterized. The record is from RefSeq and is a predicted model, not a curated record. Lineage: Eukaryota; Metazoa; Chordata; Actinopteri; Perciformes; Serranidae. The transcript is spliced from 6 exons.
CAGCGGAAUUAAAAAGCUAAUGUUAUCUAAAUUACUUCAUUCACUGCCCCAACAAGGCUGUGAAGCUGUCAAAGUGAUGACACUCUGUAGUCUCAUUUAAUCACUCGUUAGCAACCACCUUUGUAAGACACCUAAAGGCUUAAAAUUUCACAAGUGGGAUAUUUGCUGACAUAUCUUAUGUCCUAGAACAAAAUGUGGAAGUCUUUGGUGUUAAGCACAGACCAUAUUUCAGGCACCUAACCAAAACCAGAUUCAAAAAACUCAUUGACUUCAAGACAAGGAAACCAAGUGUGCAAAAAUGCAAACUCAUUUUCGGGGUUUAGGACUCAUUCCCAGACUACUCUAUAAAGGCAUUUUAAUUUUCAGUCAGUGUUCAUCUUAUUUUUCUUUGUUCUUAACAGAAGAAACAAGGAUCUCAUAAGAAGACUGUGUCUGAUGAGAAGAAACAGCACUCCAGCCAUCAGACAAGUGGCGGUGUCCAGGAUGUACCUGCUGCUCCAGGCUCAGCAAAGCCAGCUUGGGAGGACCGACAGCCAAAGAAGAAGAGCUGGUGGAAUCGCCUCUUUGGUUACCUUGACAAGAAAAGUGUUCCUGGUAGGAGGCCUUCAGCCCCACAGGAAAGACCUACUGUCACCACCUCAGACGCUCAAACUGCGUCACAAAAGCAAGCCGUGAGGAAUUUUUGGCGUUGGCUGUCGAUCAACCACAGGAGAAAACGUGUCUCACCAGCCAACAUCACCAACGACAAAAAGACGGACUCACCAAACCCUGAGAGGAGCAACCUAAUAAAUGUCAUCUGGGACACUGAUAGGUCUCUGGAUAGCCCCAUCAAGUGCUUCGG